Molecule: long non-coding RNA, 236 nt
Organism: Zea mays
Lineage: Eukaryota; Viridiplantae; Streptophyta; Magnoliopsida; Poales; Poaceae
Exons: 3
Source: RefSeq, a predicted model, not a curated record
GAAGGACAAAAAUCUGUUACACAUGAUACUCCUGUAUCUGGUGCACCUCUGUUCGAUAAAACCCCACUGACAGAUGCAACUACUGACCUGGUUGCAAAGGAUAGUUCCUGUAAAGCUGCAGUCGCUGAACAUCCCCACGUGUCACGUGAAGACUGUGCUCGCAACCUGCUUAAGUUCAUUUUGUCAGGAAAACUAGAUCCGAGCAUGUCUAUCAUUAAUUUUGGAGGAUUUGGAGG